GAUGAACGCUGGCGGCGUGCCUAAUACAUGCAAGUCGAGCGAACAGACGAGGAGCUUGCUCCUCUGACGUUAGCGGCGGACGGGUGAGUAACACGUGGAUAACCUACCUAUAAGACUGGGAUAACUUUGGGAAACCGGAGCUAAUACCGGAUAAUAUAUUGAACCGCAUGGUUCAAUAGUGAAGGACGGUUUUGCUGUCACUUAUAGAUGGAUCCGCGCCGCAUUAGCUAGUUGGUAAGGUAACGGCUUACCAAGGCAACGAUGCGUAGCCGACCUGAGAGGGGGAUCGGCCACACUGAAACUGAGACACGGUCCAGACUCCUACGGGAGGCAGCAGUAGGGAAUCUUCCGCAAGGGGCGAAAGCUGACGGAGCAACGCCGCGUGAGUGAUGAAGGUCUUCGGAUCGUAAAACUCUGUUAUUAGGGAAGAACAAAUGUGUAAGUAACUAUGCACGUCUUGACGGUACCUAAUCAGAAAGCCACGGCUAACUACGUG
Molecule: ribosomal RNA, 496 nt
Filed under: uncultured bacterium
Lineage: Bacteria
Description: partial 16S ribosomal RNA
Rfam family: Bacterial small subunit ribosomal RNA
Source: RNAcentral